CAGAGGCUUACUGUUUAUUUUCUUUUUGGUGCAUUUUAUACACAGCAGUACAAACUCUGGCAGCUCCUGUCUGACUGAAUCUUACUUACUGUGCAUUUUGGAUGUCACUGCUGUUAAAGUUUGAUUGUGUAGUGUUAGAUGUGGCAGAAAUGUUUAUCCUGUAACUUAUAAUGUCUCCAGAGGACAAUAAAAUGGGCAUGGAUUAUUUUUUUCUGCCUGGCAGGAUACUGGAAAUAAGCUCCUAUAGUGGAAAGUUUGCUGUGAGCAGGGCAGGCUGGUGCAGAGCUACUUGCUGUUCCCAGUCAUUUUGGCAACGUGGAGCAUGAGCUGCAGAACAGGGAGUGCUGACAGUGUGGAUGAACGGGUGCAUUGCUUUUGGUCCUGUGAUAGAACCCAUAAGACCGAAUCCAUACAUUGGAUCCCCACAGAGACUGGGCACAUAGAACAUCAGUACCACCAGCUUCAUAGAGAAGAUGGACCAAGUGAAAAUGGAGCUUUCUCCUAUCAAUAGAAAUGGUGGAGCAAAUAGUGGAUCUGUUUAAAAAAUAGCAAAAUUGCUGAACUUUAGAAGUAGCAACAAAGAUGAGCAGAAUAAUAUUUUCUGUGGCACAAAUAAAUACUUGUUUAAUAUCCUAUUUUUUCACACUCUGGACACUGUAACAGGAAAGCACUUUUGCCUAAACAGCAUGAUGGACAUAUGGGGUAAAGUGCAAGGUCAUCCCUGGCAAAAUGGCUGGCUGCCCUCCUCAAUAUUCUUUAAAUUCUACUUGCUGUUGUUUUGGAUUCCAGACUUAGGAAGAUAAAACAAUAACUUGCUAUUCCUUUUGCAAACCACGUGGCUGGCAUCCUUUCUGGAGACCUUCCAUAAUUCAGUUUGCACAAGAAGACUGUGGGACCCUUAGAGUAACAAAAGUUCCGAAAUGUAAUGCUUUCUUCAAGGUCAAAAUAAUGAGAUUUAUACAUUUCCUGUGCAACUCUCCAGUAGAAACAAAUAGUGUGAAAGGCAGGAGGGAGAGUGAAAAAUAUCCCUGGGAUAUACUUCAUGUGCUAAAGCUAUUAAUGAAAUAUAGGUGCCUGUGUAGCUCAGGAUCUCUGCUCAUCAGAACAAUUGUACAAAUUCUCUCUGACUAAUGACUAUAAAAGGCCUGAAUCUCUGUAUUCCCUGGGCAAUUUAAAAUCUGAGUUUAAUACAUUGCAGUUUCAUUUCUGAACUAAUGCAGUUGUAUAAAGGAUGUUUUGUUUAAAAGAAGAUUUUGCUGUGGAGAGUGAAGUACAGGGGGUAUGGCUCCGAAUGCUGCCAAUCACAGAAGAUCUUAGAGUAUGGAGAUGAAUUUUGAAAGCUGCCUGUUUAACACAGCAACAAUAAGCAUUUUUAAUUGUUAUUAUUAUCAAGUGGAGCCAUACAGUCUGAUAAGACAUGAAAUCCCACUGAGUAAUUUUUCAGGUAACUUCUUUUAGUCUUCUUUUUUUAGAAAAAUAGUCAAACAAAGCUCAGUAGUCCUAAAUAGCUCCCAUUAGUUCAGAUACCACCAUGAUUACUGUUGUGGUGGUUUCUGUGUGAAGAAAUUUUUGGCUUUCUCAUGGUCACAUUUAUACCUUUUAAGUAUGUAACACAUACAAUCUCUUUGCUCCUGCAAGUGCAGCACAACAAACCUUUCAGAGCACAGGGCUUAGAUCUGACCCAUCAGGCCUUGUGUGGUAGCUGCAUUACUAUGCACAUAUUUAUGACAUAGAAGAGUCUGUGUGCUUUUUCCGCACAUUUCACAGAAGAAGGAGGCCUGCUGCUGGUUUCAGAACCCACACUGACCUCACAGCUAAAACCAUAUCUGAAGAAAAUGUUAUAUCACUGAACAUUUACACUCAGCUACAGCCCAGAGGCCCUGAUCAGAUUCUGUUCUGCAGAGUCUUAUUUUAAAGAAGUUCUCAAUCCUAUCUCAGGUAUUUUUGAAUCUGAGGCUGCAAGGCAUAUAUAAAGGAAAGAAGAAAGGAGAAAACAGAGGUGCUUUUCAUGUAUGAAUACACUGAUAAAAAAACCUCCUCCUCAGAAAUUUUCUUAAGAGGUAGACUUCAUGUAGGCGUCACUACCUUGAGAAGCUAAACUACUUCAGUGAAGAGCUAAGGAUUAAUUUCUGAAAGGUUGGGGGUUUAUAACAUGAUUUAGAAAAACUCCAAAGAAACGAAGAGAUCCUGGAAAGGCAACUAUAAAGGUGCUAAGUGCAGCGGGAACAGAACACCCACUGAAGAACACCUGCAGAACAGCAACACCAUCCUUUCCAUAAAACAGGGCACAAAAACUUCUACACAAAGAAAAUCUGAAAAACACAGUUGGGCAAGAACAUAUUUUCUAUUCUGUGGAUCAUACAUGACAUUGUUACUAGAAUUUCAAAAUGGAAAUACUUUUGCUUCCAUAAAACACUUUGAAGUACUUCACAGAGACAACCCAAAUACUCAACUAAUUCAUAAUGUUGCCUGUAUUUCACAGUCAGUGCUAUGGAAGACUAUGCUAUUUCCCCUGUUCAUUGGUCUCUUACAAUUCUUCACAGAAUCUGCUUAAAAAACAAUGUCAAAGUGUCAAUGUGCUUUCUAAGGAGGCUACGGCUAUCUGUAUCCUGAAAAUAAAUCAGGGCUCUCAUUCUCAGGUCAGUCUAUAACAGCCAAAGGAUUUGGCAUCAACAAAGAAGCCUCAGCGGCAACAUAAUCACAUGUAUUAUAUUAAACUAGACCAGCUGAAGGAUUAAAUGAAGCCCUAUAAAAUGAGUGGAUGUUGCUGAACUUCACUAUUCACAUAAGAGAAAUGUACAGUGAACUAAUUACAAUUUCUGUUCUGUAUACUGUCAUUCAUAUUGCAGCUUUCCUGAGUAAUAUUCCCUCUGUGAUUGUGCAGCAGCAAACUGUCCCCAAAGGUCAUGCGUAAAGUCAUUAUAUAGAACCUGAUGAGCAUUGUCUCUGGUCUCUAAUUGGAAACUACAUCAUUCUGACUUGUCACAGCCUGACUGUGUGUGCACCUAUCAGUUGUUC
Molecule: long non-coding RNA, 3018 nt
Filed under: Gallus gallus (chicken)
Lineage: Eukaryota; Metazoa; Chordata; Aves; Galliformes; Phasianidae
Source: RNAcentral